This 226-nucleotide ribosomal RNA is filed under the name Bacillus toyonensis. Its description in RNAcentral is "partial 23S ribosomal RNA". It matches the Rfam family "Bacterial large subunit ribosomal RNA", at positions 1 to 225 of the family's 2925-position model. The record is from RNAcentral. Lineage: Bacteria; Bacillati; Bacillota; Bacilli; Caryophanales; Bacillaceae.
GGUUAAGUUAGAAAGGGCGCACGGUGGAUGCCUUGACACUAGGAGUCGAUGAAGGACGGGACUAACGCCGAUAUGCUUCGGGGAGCUGUAAGUAAGCUUUGAUCCGAAGAUUUCCGAAUGGAGAAACCCACUAUACGUAAUGGUAUGGUAUCCUUACCUGAAUACAUAGGGUAUGGAAGACAGACCCAGGGAACUGAAACAUCUAAGUACCUGGAGGAAGAGAAAG